Molecule: long non-coding RNA, 14111 nt
Filed under: Phoenix dactylifera (date palm)
Lineage: Eukaryota; Viridiplantae; Streptophyta; Magnoliopsida; Arecales; Arecaceae
Description: long non-coding RNA (PDAC_LNC006649)
Source: RNAcentral
UCUUCUAUUUGAUUAGCAGGCAUUUGAACAUUUUCCGAUGUCGAUUAGUUAUUGAAUUGCUAGAGUGAUACAUGUAAAGCCCACCCUAUUUGAGGUGCUGGAAUGAGAAGCACUAUUCUGGUUGUCAUCUAUUUCUUCUCAUUUCAUAUGGACUUUGGGAUGCAGCAAGCUUAAUCCCCCAAGUCCAUGUGCAUUUUUAGGGAAUUAUUCAUGGCAUCUGGAGUAAUCUACCUCCAGUGGAAAAUCCUUUGCAACUAAACUGUUAAGAUUUUUGGGUGCAUUGAUGUCACCUUAAGUGGUCGGUGAUUUUAGGCAAUCCUAUUUUUAUACAGGACAUGCUAUUGGACUUUAACCUUCUUCAGUGAAAUCAUGAACUUGAAAACUAUUGAGAGCAUUCAAGUUAUGUGAAAUUGGCUUGUUAAGAAAAAUCUACUAUAUCAUACUUGCAAACAAGGACGUCGUGUCCACGUCCAAGGGUAUAAAAUGGAAAUAUUUAUAGGAGUCUAAUACAUGUCAGUCUGAGGUGGAAAUGUCGUUUGGUGGGAUAAAUUGCAAUAAGGCAGGAUAAAGGGGUUAUAUUCCUCACUAUCUUUGAACCGAACAAAUCCUCUACAUAAGGGGAAAAGUGCUAUAUUUUGUACCUUCUUACAACUUUAUAGUGAGUUUGAACCUAAGUUGCUAGUAAUUUUCUCAAAUUGAUUUUGAUGGCUUUCUAUGUUAGAUUGUAUAGAGAUAUGAAAUUUGCUAUUUUUAGAAAGUCUGAACUCUGAAAGUAUCCUAUUUUCCUAGUUGAAUAAGGGGCUAGUGAUCAAGUCUUAUUGUGUAUUUGGCUAUAAAAGGAUAGAGAGAACAUCGUCUAACAAGUUCAGUGAUAAUCAAUGCAAAAUAAAUUCUCUUCUACCAUCAUUACUUCUAACUUCUUCCCCUUAUUUUUCUUAUCUUCUAUUCUAUUUGUUACUUUCUCUUUGAAAUAGCAAUCAGACAAACAAAAGUGAUCUAUAAUGACUACAUCAUUUUCAAAUCUGAUUUAAACUGUCCGGUAACCACUCAUUAUGUAUUCUUUGACCAAUGGCGCUACAUCAAGGUUUCCUAGUCCAAUACAUAAGAGCUGCCUUCAACCUGCUGCCUGAUGAAAGCUUCUUUGACGAGGUUGUCAAAAUCAUUCACCUAUAUGCAAGCACCCAGAUGGUGGCCCUUGCGAGCCUUCUAGUCACAACCUCUUCCACACUCACUUGAGUUAGAUUCAAUACCAAAACCUGCGUAGAAGUUCUGAAUUAGACAAGUAUGAGGUACAAAGACCUGAAAUGGUUUUCAUUUGAUGUCUUUUGUCCAACAGUAAUUUAAAAUAUGGAAUUUCUGAUUAGAAACUAUGUUUUAUUAUUUCUUCAAAAAAUUACAAAUCAAAUAGACUUAUUAAUAAAAAUAGCUAUUUACUUACAAGCAAAGUAGGAAAACACUUUAAUGGCUGGACAAGUGACUUCUGUGACUUUGUUGCUAAUUUAGUAUUCUUAAAGAGCAAGUAUGUGUAGUACAUUGGAGAGUUAACCUCCUUGUAUUACCAAGAAAGAUACAUGCCGGGAUGUAUCUGAAUUUGUACACAUAAGACACUCCUAUUCUUAUCACUUUUGUUAUUUUCAUUUUUCUUUUGGGCACAUUGGGGGGAAACUUAGGUGCAUACAACCAAUGCAGUCAACCAAAAUCAUAUUUACUUGAGGAAAAAAGGAAAGGAGGGGAGGGGGGGGGGAGGGGACACAUGAUCUCCCCAAGACAUCCUUUCCGUGCUAGCCCCAAUCAAUGGGUUGAUUACGCUCCCCAUGUUGCAACCUUUAAAAUUGGUAAAUAGUUGGUCUCUUUGAACAAUGAGUUUGACCUGCUAUAAUAUCACUAGAAGUGAUUAUUUUUUAUUCUUUUUCAGAGAUUGAUCAAGAAUGUAGGUGUUAAAUUGACUUUACAAUAUGCCAUUUCUCUAAAACCUUAUAUUAGGAACUUUGAAUAAAACAUGUAUAUUUGAAGAUCUUAAACAAAUAAUAACUUUCAAAACUUUUCUUUUGUAUAAUAUAAUAUCAUAUUUCUAUAAAUUUUAAUGAAAAGUAUUUUUUUUUAACAUAUCCUUAUCUCAUUUGCUCCUUCUUGCCAGAUCAGACACUUGGACAUGGGUUCGAGUCUAGUUCUUGUGUCCAUGCCAAUGCGACGCUGCCUAUAAGUCCAUCUUUUCCUCCAGAGUUUCUUUAAUGUUAAAGAAUCUCAUCCAUAUAACUCAUUAAAUAACCACAUAAAGGAUUUUACUAGGUUAUCUUAUUGAUGCAGCUUCGGGUAUCUAUAAUGAAGGGAUUGCACUCAACUCAGAGAAGCAUUGUCUUCGAUUAUGUUCAAUCUUUUCCCUUUUCCAUAUAGAAAUAGCUCUAGUCAUUCGUCUAUUUGUGUCCCCUUGCCUGACCGUCCAUAUGUAUGUUGCCCCUUUGUUGUCCAUCCUAACACCCUUAAUUCAAUGAAAAACUCUAGUUUUCUAUUCCUUUAUCUAGUUGAUGAACAAGAGUAUUUCUAAUCUUGAUUUGAAACCAACCUCCUGUAUGGAUCACCAUAAGUUGCAGUAUUUUUUGGUAAAUAUUUCGAGCAGUAUGGUGGUAAUAUGCCACCACCAGGAUUUGAACCUUGGACCCCACCCAACAGCAAGUUUUUAGGUGAGUGGUGUCAACCAGCUAAUAGCUGUUGGCCACAAGUGCAUAUUUAAUAUUACUACUAUUUAGACAUUUUUUGAUGGAAUUUUGUAAUUUAUUAUUUCAGAGCUGUUCAUUAACGAUACUUCUGCUAUUUGCUCCUAUAUGGAUCAUCCCUCCUUUAAACUUUUUCCCUUUUUCCCUCUAAAUCCUGCUCCUUUGUUUUUUACUCCCUUUGUUUUUCUAUCUCCUAGCUUUGCAGAUGUAGACCUUUUGUUUUGGACCUAAGCUUUUUUUUAUUCUUUUGUUUCAGUUGCCUCUGGAUUCUCUACCUUUUUUUUGUGCUUGGGUGAUUCCUACUUAUUAGCUAUAGCCCACUGGUUGAUAAACUAAUUUUGACGAUUUUAGGUCAAAGUUAAUGCCAAUGAAACACUCAAAUAUUACAUAGAUUAUUGUUUUUUGGCAUUCAGCCUUCUCCAACAUACACCUCAUAUCCUCUGCUGCUCCAUAUUUCACCGUUUAAACCACCACAUAUAAAUAUUAUUUUCCCUUGAGAAUUCUUUGCAAUAAUUCAUCAUUCUCUUCCAAAACUUGCUUAUUAACUUUCUCCAGUUUUGUGCACUGUGUAUCCAUUAUUUCAUCUCAUCUUAUAAUACGUACUUAAUACCUAUUUACCUAUAGCACAUAGUAUCCUCAUAAGAAUUCUGUCUUUCAAGUCCAUCUACCAUUAUUCCUACUUCAUUCGCUUAUUCUCAUCCCACUUGUAGCCGUGACCAAUCUCCUUAGAUAUUUCUGCUUCCACAAGCAAAUAAUAUAUACUAUUGUUCAUGUUGAUGUAUGCCAACACAAGAUAGUUGGGAUGAGUCUUGAUGUUUAUGGUUGUGGUUCAUGUUGAUGCUACUCCUUCAAUGUCCUGACUCUCUAAGAGAUAAAUUGGUCUUCCUACUAAGAGACAAAUUGGUCUUCCUAUUUUUAGGACUAGCUCCUGUUUUCUUUUUGUUCCCUUUGGCAUUUUGCCACAUCUCUCCUAACCUUCAAGCUACAACAAUAAAUAAGUACCUCAGAAAUAAAAAUAUUGAAAGAGGUUAUAGAAUAUGCCAACUGACUUGCCUUCAUGUUUAAUAUAUUUAUAUUACCCUGAACCUAAUGCUUAGUAACUUCUUUCUGCAAAUUGCUGUCUUUUUUUGUGCGUUGCAUGCUCCCACUCCUACCUUUGAUCCAUAGACUCGAAAUUGGGUGAUAGAUAUAUGUCAGAAAAUUCACAUAGUUUUGAUCACUUUAACUAUUCCAUUUUCUGACAUUUGAAUGAUUCUUUUUCUUUUUAUUUCCAAAAUGUUCUAUGAAUGUGAUGGCUACGAUCAUUUAAACAACUGCAAUCUCUAUUGCAGAAAACAAAAAUAAUGACAAAUAAAAUGAAAAUGAUAGUGAUAUUUAUCUCUAAAAGGCUGCCUAGUCCACUGGAACAUGCCUGACUUAUGUUUGAGCUUAAAAGCACCCAAUGUUGAUGGAAAGGGACUUGAAUAAUAGCAAUGAUUUGGAUUUUGUUUUCCUAGCUCAUUUGGAUCGGGCAGAAUUUCUGCGAGUCCAGAGAAAUGGGCUAGAAAGGUAAUUUGCUUCUUUUUCUCCAGUUUAAAUCUAGCCUUAUUUAGUAACUGAAUCUUAGUUUUCAAGAGUGCUCCCUAUUGUAAUAUAAUCUGAGUAUGUUAUAUGCUUUGAGCAAGCCUAAAGUUGAUAAUAGUCGUUUACAAUCUACUAGAGAGUCAAGUGUGAUAUCUGCCUAUAUACAAUGUGCAAUCCACAUAUCUAUGCAGAAAGUGUUUGCAUAUGUAUCAUUCAUGGACUACAAUGACAAAUAUAACCUUAUCAGUCGAUGUCAAGAUGAUUUCAGUCAUAAAGUGCAACAUUAAACCAUAGUCACUUUACAAAAGGAUUGACUCUUCAGCAAAUAUACAUGAUCUUCAACCUGACAUCGACCAUCCUAAAGUUUUAACAACAAUCUUAGGCCAAUUUGGAGUCUGAAUGCUACCAAAAUGUAAUCAUUUAAUUUAAAUUGGUAUGUAAACUUAUACCAAUGUUGUUGUAAGAGUUUCAAUAUUAGGAUAAAUGAAAUUGGCAUGAACAUUCAAGCGUGUUGUAGUCAUAGGAAUACAAUUACAUAAAGCAAAAUCAUAUAAGUAAUUGGAAGAGCACAUUAACAUCCGUUCUAUAAUGGUUUAGUUUAUACCAAAAGAUCCCAUAAGCUCUGCUUUAAAUACUUAUUAUUAAUAUGCAGUCUAUAAAUUGGCUGAAGCAUUAUUAUAUGGUCUGAUCAACAACAGUGAUCUUUUUCUGACAAUUAAAAUAUAAUCAUCGCCAGUUAUGUCUUUAGAUUCCAUUUGUCAAAACAUGGAGUAUGGAACGAAAACUGGCUGAUACUAUCUGUAUUGGCCAAUUCCAACUGGUAGUGUCAUAAACAGUCCAGUGUUGAACCUUAGACUAGUAUUCCUGAAAAGGCCAAUUCACUACUAAACUUGAUCAAUAUAAAAAUAACUGAUUGGAGUGGUGGGUGGACCAGUUGUAAUUGUCAUUUCAUUAUGAUUCUGCUUGGAUGAGGUUGGUUCGAUCUUGUUCAGGCUAUUAAAAGUCUUUCAGGUGAUGAUAUCAUCUCUUCAAUCAUUCUCUUUAUUCUAAUACUAAUAAAGAAGAGAUGAAGCAGAACAUGGAGAAAGGAGGAAAAAGAGAAAACCUAACAUCUGAGCAUGAAAUAUACUUGUAACAUGGACUUCAUUUUGGCAAGGAGCCAUAGUGUUCUUGAAAAAUGCAUUUAUAAUAAAGGACUUCUUCAGGAUGUUGCUUAAAUCAAUGUUAGAGCUUGAACGCAUCCAGUUGGUUUUGUGUCUAAGCUUAUUAGGCUUUGCCUUCAAACUUGUUGGCCACCUCCGUGUUUUUUUUUUUGGUGUGUGUGUGGUUGGGUGGGGGGGGGGGAUGUGGAAGAGUUAAUGACAAAUUUUUAGGAGAGUGUAAUUACUUGGAUAGAACAAGCAUGUCUUCAAUUGCUUUUGGAUCUGACUGGGAAUGUGUUAAUUAUAAUUUUCAUCCUAAGUUUUUUCUAGGAUGUACGCUUUUUGUGCAAAAUCAUAAUUGUUUAUAUGGCCAUAGGAAUUUUUAAUGCUAAACUUGCUUUUUACUGGAUUCUCAAUUGGAAAAUAAACAACUCUGGUAGCUUUAUAUUUCAAGUUGGACAAAGAAUUUCCAUUAAAUCUUUAACACCAGGUUUCAAAUGUAUGUUGAUGAUUAAUUAUUGAAACUGAUGAUCCAAACAAUUGAUUAUAGCUUGCAAUUAAGUGCCCAAAAACUAAAGAAAAAGUAAUUAGUUUUGGAGGUCUCUUACCUAUGCAUCAAAUUGAGCAAAGAAAUGUAUGACACUGUAUGUUAGUGUGCUAAAUGUAUUAUGGAACAUAUGAAUUGAAAGUCAACACUGUUGAUCAUGAUUUACGCAUCUUAAAACAAGCAUAUAUUAUCAGAAACCAAAGAUGAAAAUACACAUUUUGACUACCUUUUAAAUGAUAGGUCUUAGCAAAAUCAUUUACAGUGCCAUUAAAACCAUUGAUAUUGCAUUUAGGGUGUCAGUGGGGGCUGAUAACUUACUAAAUACCCAGCUAAUUAGGCCCCCCUCCCCCACCCCCACCCCUAAAAAAAAGGGGGUGGGUGAGGAUUGUGUUUGGAUUUGGAUCUAACACAUUUUAGGUUUGGGUAUGGAUAGGGCCAAACUCUAUACGAACCUAACCUGUGGAUGCCCCUAAUUGCAUUCACUUUAUCCAUAAGUAGAAGACUUCAUAUGUGCUUUUUUAAGAUCUGGCGAAUUUCUGUUUUCUAGAUCAUGAUCGAAAGAUGCAGAACUUUAGUUCGAAUGGCUUGUCAUGAAUUUUGUAUCUAGUAAAAUGUUAAUUAUUUAAUGGCAAGACUGCUAUCUUACUCUUGUUUUUUUUUUCAUGCAAUUUGUUUAAGAAAUUCCUUGCGUUUUUCAAUAAUAUCUUUUUCCACUUCCAUUACCGGUGUUAUAUAAUUCUCAAGUUUGUAUUUCAUGAUCAAGGCCAUUCUGCAGAUUUGAUAAAUGUGUUAUCUGACAUGAACAUGAGAUUUUUCUGUUGCUAAUACUAUAUUUUUCUGUGAGUUAACAACUUGUUACCUUUUACUUUAUUUGCUACCAAUUUUGUUACUGUGUGACUCUGAUGGUUAUGUAAUUGCAGAUUGAACUUUUUGACAUCCUUGGUGAUGUGGUAUCCUGUUCAUUUUUGUUUUAUGUCAUUUUCUUGUUUGAUAUAGCAGAGCUUUUUUAGCGUUUUGUGUCUUGAUUCUUGUGAUGGUGCUUCUUCUUCAGGAUCAUGUGCAGCAGCAACAACAGAUGGUUGACCAUGUUUGGCAUGAAUUUAACACAAUCAGUUCAACAAAGUGUCUGAGGGAACUGUACUGCUGCAUGCCUCCUAUCGAGCCAUUUGUCUUGAGCUUUAGAAGAUAGGCAUCAUUGGUAUUCUUUUAGUGGAUUUUGGCUUGUUUCUUUCGAUCUCAUUGAUCCUUCCACAACUGCUCUUACCUUCAAAGAUUGUUUUUGUGUUUUACAAUAGGAACUAGUGAAACAUGUGGUCUAAGUAAGAUGUCUGUGGUGAUAAUUUUACCAUUUUGACAUGAUAAUAUGCUGCCCUUAUUGUUAAACGACUAUAUCAUGAUUUUUAAUCAUCGUCAUGAUUUCAUACUGUCGCAGCUCAAAAUGUGGCCUGUUGGUUACUCGGUCAUUGAAUUGCGGGGAUGCCAACUAGUUGAGUUGGUAAAGUCGCUAGGGGAGGUGCCAUUGAGACUGGUUUGACUCCCACCGACUCUGAAUUCAGGGAGGCUUCCUCCUAUCCCAGUUAUCAGAAUGGGAGGAGGAUGAUCCUCUUCCUCAAAAGGAGGAUGAUCCAUUUUGUUUUAUAUGGUGUGGGCUGCAUGACAUGUGGACUAGUGAGGUGAUUACUGUGUUUCUAUGGUGUCUAUAGGCGCAUAUGCAGGAUCCAUUUGAUUUAUCCAAAUAUUCUAUGCAUAUUUUCUCAAUUUUUUUGUAUCUUAUGUUACUGAAUUACUUUUUAGUUACCAUUUCAUUGUUUUCUCAUUGAAAUAUCGACAAGGAGCCGAAAAAGGAAGGAAGGACGAGUACUAGGUCAGGUAUUGGAUAAUUGAUUUGCUAAUUCUUUGAAAUGAAGAAACUAUAUUUUGUGAUUUUAGCUGCGAUAUAAACUAUUGUUAAUAAAAGAAACUAUAUUUGCUAAUUGAUUUGCUUGAUAACAGCUAAUCACUUUUGGACCUUGCUCUAAGGUUCUCAAACCUCAAUUAAAGAUUGCUUCUCUACUUUUACUGAAUGUUGUUACUAAAACAUAUUGGAAUUCUCCUAGCGUCCAGCUGUGGCAAGAAUUUCCAUAUUUUUCAGCCCUGUUUGGUUGGAGAAUGUGUCUAUCCCCUAUGGAAUUAUUAUCCUCGGACAACUCGGAAUCCUGCUGGUUGCAGUCUUUUUCUUCUGGUAAUCUAGGAACAUCACUCGAUUGGAUUUUAGCUAGUGAUGCUGUUAGACGAGGGAAAAAAAUAAGUAACUGUUUUUUGGGGAUAGGAAGUAAAUCUUUUGGGCUCAUUUUCUGGGUAAUUAGAAUUUGAAUAAACCGGGAAUAAGUCUAUUUCAAUUUCCCCACGGAAUUGCUGUCCCUGUGGAACCUCUGUGGAAAUUCAAAUGCUUAAUUUUUUUUGUUAUGGAUUUUGUAAGGAUCUAUGUAAUCCAGCACACAAAAUCUGCACUUAAUCUUUUACUUGAUAUGAACAUUUUAUAACAUAAUUAAAUAUGUUUACGGAUCACAUGUUUUUAAUAUCAUGGCUGAAGCCUAACCCAACUUUGAUUUGAUAUCCAAUCAGAAAGGAGAACUUUAUCUAGACGACUAGAACUCAUUUCAUUAUGAAGUUAUUCAUUCAUCAUGUGAUGCUAAUAUUAAAAAUACUAGUAUUAGUGGUAGGAAUUUUUGCUUGGCUGUCAUCAAAAUUCAUUACUUGGUGCAAGGCUAGUAAUAGCAAUGUCGUUAUUAAUGAUAGGAGUUUCUACGAAGGCUCAACUUGUGCAGAAUCCUCUAUUUGUGCAUGUUGAUCUUAAUAAUGUAGGCACAAUGACAAGGCUUUCUCCUUGGCUAUCAUUAAAGAAAAAAAAUCGUGAAGGCAUAAUGACACUUAAUAGUAACAAUGAGAGUUUCUAUAUGGAUGUUCAACUUAUAUAGAUAACACGAGUUUCCAGUUGUCUAUAAUUAAAUUUUAUUACUUAAUAUGUAAUAAAAAUUUAUUUAUUGAAAUCUUCUAUUUAUUAUAAUUUGUUGUAUUAUCAUAUUGCAUCUCAAAAAUAGUUGGAAAAAGGAAAAAAUACUAUACAUCAUGUAGGAUCGAUAUUAAUAAUGUCGAUAUUGAUGAUGUGAAUUUAUAUAUGAAGGCUUUUGUACAAAGUUUUUCAUUCAUCAUGUAGAUGCUGGGGUUAAUGAUGCCAGUAUUAAUUACAGGAGUAUUUGCUUGACCAUUAUUAAAGUUCAUUGCUUCGUGCAAAGCUAGUAUUAGUAACACCGGUAUUAUUGAUGAAAGUUUCUAUAUAGAGGCUCAGCUUGUGCAUAGUCUCUAUUAACCAUGUAAAUGCGGAUCUUAAUGACACCAGGGUAAUGAUGGAGGUUUCUUCUCGACCACCAUUAAAGUUCAUUGUAUUUCGAGAAUAGUUGGGAACUGAAGAAAAAAUCAUAUACUUCACAUGAUGCACAGUUGGUAUUACUAACGAGAGUUUCUGCAUGGAGGUUCAGCUUAUAUAGAGUUCGCUAUUGGCCAUGUUAAUGCCGGUAUUAAUGACACUAAUGUUAAUAUUAAACGUUUUUGCUUGUCAAUUAUUAGAUUUUAUUACUUAAUAUGCAAUAGAAAUUUAUUUAUUGAAGCCUUCUAUUUAUUAUAAUUUGUGAUAUUGUUAUACUACAUUUCAAAAAUAAUUGAAAAAAAGAGAAACAAUAGUAUCCCACCCAUCGUAUAGGACUGAUAUUGGUAAUGCUGGAAUUCAUGCAUGAGCCAUUGCCACCCUCUUCAUCAUCAGUUGAUGAUGAUCUGACGAGAAUUCCAAUAGAGCCAGGCUAGGAGCAUAAGAUUGUGCGUUGGAAAAGUUGCUUGGUGUUUCUUGCCAGCGGACAAUGAAUCAAUAAGUGGUCAACAUCCCUUGCAGCAGUUGGGCAAUGAUCACAACAAGCAGUUUGAUUAUUAAGAAGGUGCCUUAGAACUAAUGUAGGUUUACAUGGUAACCGCAGCCCAAGUAAUUUUCCGCCAAAAAUGUCUUAAUACAUAUCCAACUAAAAUUUUGUCUUAUAGAGGCAUUGAUAUAUUGACAUAUCCUCUUACUAGUGUCACUUGACUUUGAUUAAUACUGAUUUCUCUGCAUCACCCCAUACUAGAUUAAGAAGUGGUAUCAGAAUUUCUGUAAUCCGACUUGACUUUGAAAAAGAAAACUGCCGCUGACCAUAUUACAAUCAAGCACAUCCCAACUUUAGAAGCCCAAAUGUGUUAAAAAAAAUUCCCUGAAAUUGCUUCUCAAGCCUCAAUUCAGCAAAUUGCAAGUCCAAUUCAGCUUCAAAGCGGAGGGAGUUAGUGAUAUAAAAUAUUAUAGGAAAGCAACGUAGUAAUUGCCUGUUACCAUUCAUCAUCUUGGGAAGGAAUUGAAGGAAUUUUAGGAACCCAUCCCCUGGUCACCUCAAGAUGAACUUCGACGAUGCUAUACGAAGACAGAGAUGGGGUGGGGUUCAUAAUCCGCGAUCACAAUUUUCGGCUGACUGCUGCAGAAAGGUGAUACAUCUGUGAUACGACAGUUACAGAAGCGAAGCUCAGUGCGGCAUGAGAGGAUAUCACACAUGCAAGGUCUGUUCUAAGGGCUGGUGAGAUUAUCCUGAAAGGAGAUUCUACCAUGAUGAUUGAUUGGAUUCGGGAUGUUGUGCGACAGACUGACGGUCAUCCUCUUCUUAGCGAUAUACAACGCAUGGUGCGAGACUGUGACUCCUUUUAGAUGGUUCAUGUAUAUCGGGAGACGAAUAGAGCGACUGACUAAGUUGCCUUCUUUCUGCCCAUUAUUCUGUAGAGGUCUCAUGAACACGGACAGAUGUUGUACCUUUUUUUAGGCCACAUUUUGUAUCUUGGCUGAGUUGGUUAUAUUUAUGCUAAUUUACCUGAGCGGCCGUCUUAAAAAAAACAAAAAAUCAAAAUUUUGGAGCAUCAAAUGUGCUCAUCGUGUCGUGGCGGACGCUGUCAGCUGUCACGAUUCACUAUGUUUUUGUAUCUUGACUGAGUUGGUCAUACUUAAGCUAGGUCUACGUGCGCAACAGUCUUAUAAAAAACAAAAAUCGAAAUUUUGGAGCAUGAAAUGUGCUCAUCGUGUCGUGGUGGACGCUGUCAGCUGUCACGAUUCACCAGUAACAAACGGGUUACUAUGAGUAAUCUUGGAAGGAAGGCGGCUAGGGGUCUACUUCUAUCUCCAGGCAACGAUCCUAAUCUCCCCUGGAGACUCGUCCCCCCCCCCCCAUUUAAUUCCCACUUCUCCCUGCGAUUUUUUUUUUUUAAUAUCCAAUGGGUCCCAGUCCAUCCGAAUAGAUGGAUAUUCUUGCUCGGUUCUUACCAGGAAUUCCCCUCCCUUCCAUGGCAGCCUCCCUUCUUCUCUCUGCGUCUCUAUGCCGGCCUCUAUUCGAGAAGCCUUCUUAAUGGCCGCGAAUACUCGUCGCAGACUCGUGCGUGCCCUCCAAGCCCUCUACUCUAUCUCCCGUCAACGAGGGAUCCAUUAAAAUCGCGACUUUCCCAUUCUUGGUCCGGGUUGUUUCUAGGAUUUCAUUGUUCUCAGAUUUCUUCUUCGAAAAAUCCGUUGUCUUCAAUCGAAUUGAGGUCUCCUUCUCUGGUUCUGGUAAGCAAGAUUUCUCUUUUCCCAUCUGGAUUGUUCCCCAAAUCCAAAUCUUUACAUUCUUUCGGCCCGUUCUUGAAUUNNNNNNNNNNNNNNNNNNNNNNNNNNNNNNNNNNNNNNNNNNNNNNNNNNNNNNNNNGACUUGGACCUCGACUUCCCGAACCCGGAAGUGUUCCCGGGCCCUGAUGUCGGGGACCAGAUGCCCGGCAACUGCUGGAUAGAUGGCUUCUUCGACGAGAGCGUCAAGGACAUGCCCCGCCACUCUUGCACCCACACCCACACCUGUAAUCCUCCGGGGGGAGACCUCUCGCACACCCACACCUGCUUCCAUGCCCACACCAGGAUCCUCUCGGCUCCUUCCAAUGAGACUUCUUCCGAGUCCGCCGAGAAGAGCUCAUCAAAGAAGAGACCAAUUGGCAACCGAGAGGCUGUCCGGAAGUACCGCGAGAAGAAGAAGGCUCACACGGCCUCGCUGGAGGAUGAGAUUGUCCAAUUGAGGGCGCUCAAUCAGCAGCUGAUGAAGAGGCUGCAGGGCCAAGUAGCUCUGGAUGCAGAGGUGGCAAGGCUUAGGUGCUUGCUUGUCGAUAUAAGGGGAAGGAUAGAAGGAGAGAUUGGGGCCUUCCCUUAUAACAGGGCAGCGAGAAUGGGCGGGGAUUUGGUUUCUAAUGCAACCCAGGGGAACCUUUUUGGUGCUCACAUCAUAAAUUCGUGCAAUGUGCGCUGUGAUGACCAGAUCAACUGCAUGCAAUCAGUGAUGCAAGGCGAAGAUGGGGAUGAAGAUGGUGCAUUGGAUGGCGAGAACUUUGAUGCUUGUGAGAUUGGCAAUAUUCGGUGCAUGGGGAGUUCGAGUACAGGAUCUAAGGUCAUCUUGACUUGUGGCCAUGGAAAUGCGAAUGGAAAUGCGAUGGCUGCUGGAUGUUCGUCUAAGGCCAAGAAAACUAAAGGUCAGUUCUGAUUUACCUUUUUCUUUAUUGAAAGUGCUUGUUGAAUAUUUUAGUGGUCUUCUUCUAUUUGAUUAGCAGGCAUUUGAACAUUUUCCGAUGUCGAUUAGUUAUUGAAUUGCUAGAGUGAUACAUGUAAAGCCUACCCUAUUUGAUGUGCUGGAAUUAGAAGCACUAAUCUGGUUGUCAUGUAUUUCUUUUCAUUUCAUAUGGACUUUGGGAUGCAGCAAGCUUCAAUCCUCCAAGUCCAUGUGCAUUUUUAGGGAAUUAGUCAUGGCAUCUGUAGUAAUCUACCUCCAAUGGAAAAUCCAUUGGAGCUACUGUUAAGAUUUUUGGGUGCAUUGAUGUCACCUUAAGUAGUCGGUGAUUUUAGGCAAUCCUACUUUUAUACAGGACAUGAUAUUGGACUUUAACCUUCUUCAGUAAAAUCAUGAACUUGAAAACUAUUGAGAGCAUUCAAGUUAUGUGAAAUUGGCUUGUUAAGAAGAAUCUACGAUUUCAUACUUACAAACAAGGACCUCGUGUCCACCUCCAAGGGUAUAAAAUAGAAAUACUUAUAGGAGUCUAAUACAUGUCAGUCUGAGGUGGAAAUGUCGUUUGGUGGGAUAAAUUGCAAUAAGGCAGGAUAAAGGGGUUAUAUUCCUCACUAUCUUUUAACCGAACAAAUCCUCUACAUACGGGGAAAAGUGCUAUAUUUUGUACCUUCUUACAACUUUAUAGUGAGUUUGAAGCUAAGUUAGUAGUAAUUUUCUCGAAUUGAUUUUGAUGGCUUUCUAUGUUAGAUUGUAUAGAGGUAUGAAAUUUGCUAUUUUUAGAAAGUCUGAACUCUGAAAGUAUCCUAGUUGAAUAAGGGGCUAGCGGACAAGUCUUAUUAUGUAUUUGGCUAUAAAAGAAUAGAGAGAAGAUCGUCUAACAAGUUCAGUGAUAAUCAAUGCAAAAUAAAUUCUUUUCUACUAUCAUUACUUCUAACUUCUUCCCCGUAUUUUUCUUAUCUUCUAUUCUAUUUGUUACUUUCUCUUUGAAAUAGCAAUUAGAUAAACAAAAGUGAUCUUUAAUGACUACAUCAUUUUCAAAUCUGAUUUAAACUGUCCCGUAACCACUCAUUAUGUAUUCUUUGACCAAUGGGGCUACAUCAAGGUUUCCUAGUCCAAGACAUAAGAGCUGCUUUCAACCUGCUGCCUGAUGAAAGCUUCUUUGACGAGGUUGUCAAAAUCAUUCACCUAUACGCAAGCACCCCGAUGGUGGCCCUUGCCAGCCUUCUAGUCUCGACCUCUUCCACACUCACUUUAGUUAGAUUCAAUACCAAAACCUGCGUAGAAGUUCUGAAUUAGACAAGUAUGAGGUACAAAGACCUGAAAUGGUUUUCAUUUGAUGUCUUUUUUCCAACACUAAUUUAAAAUAUGGAAUUUCUAAUUAGAAACUAUGUUUUAUUAUUUCUUCAAAAAAUUACAAAUCAAAUAGACUUAUUAAUAAAAAUAGCUAUUUACUUACAAGCAAAGUAGGAAAACACUUUAAUGGCUGGACAAGUGACUUCUGUGACUUUGUUGCUAAUUUAGUAUUCUUGAA